This is a long non-coding RNA of Sardina pilchardus (European sardine), 1326 nucleotides long. RefSeq lists it as uncharacterized. The record is from RefSeq and is a predicted model, not a curated record. The transcript is spliced from 3 exons. Lineage: Eukaryota; Metazoa; Chordata; Actinopteri; Clupeiformes; Clupeidae.
AGAGUCCAGGUUCUCGGUGAAGGGGGGGCUCUGGUACGUGUCGGUGGUCUCGGGCCCGGGGACUGUGCCGGCGGGGUACGGUUGGAUAGUAGCAUUGCCGUCCAAGUGUUCCGUGGUGAAGAGGCUCAUAUCAGUGCCCAGAAGGAACUUCUGCACGGCUCUCACCGUCAAGCCAGCCUAGUGAAGAACAGAGAAGGCAUGUAGUGGACGUUUUGACAUAUCACUCAACAUUUCCUGUGGCUCUAAGCUGCUCACCCAGGUGAAAAUGGAGAAGAAGGAGAAGGCAAUGGCAGCACGGGCAGCAUCUGCCCCCUGGUUCAAGGGCAACUCAUCUGGGGUGGUGCGACUCCACUGGUUAGCCAGGAAGCAGAAGCUGACAAACCACAUGAAUGUCCAGAAACCUGUAACCAUGGAACAGCCAUGUUCAGCCCAGCGCAGCAUUGAAAAACGACUGCUGUCCAUAACAACAGUGCAGGACAGCAUAGCAACUAAUUUCAGUCAAGCAGUCAGUCAGCCAUUGUCUAUUGUGACUCAGAUUCUAGAUAUGGGUCUUGGGAGAGGUGCUUUACCUGAAAAACCAAUCUCAAGCAUCACUGCCUUCUUCCUGUCUUUGAUGCUGCUGAUCUGCUGGAACUUAAAGUCCAAGGCGACGAAGAAGAGGCAUGCCAAGAAGGCUAUGAGGCCGAUGGUGAUCCCAAAGUUGCAGGCAUCGUUGUUCUUGUUGUAGACGCAGUACAGUCUCUCACUCCCGAUGUUGAUGUAGCCCUCGUUCACAAUGGACCCAAACACGACUAUGGAAAAAAUCUGCAAAGACGACGCAAGGCGAUUUGGGUUUGAGUAGAGCGUGAAUAUAUUAUGAAGAACAGUGUAGUCCAUGGUGCUGUAGGCCAAUUGAUUAUGCGAGGUCUCACAUGGCACCAAACACUACAGUAGAUCAAUAUUUAGACAUGAGAAUCAGGAGACUGAUGGGACGUGGGGUAGAUGGAGAUCACAUGACAUGGUUGAUGGAUGGACAGUUUGAUGGAUCCACAUGAAUGUGCAGUGUCAUCAGAAGUGUCAAUGAAAGGCCAGCAUCAGUGGAGAAAUCUCAGCUGCCAUCAGCCCAUUAUGUUGUAACUGUUAUCUGCAAAUGGGGGAUUAUGUUUUUUGUUUUUUUUAACAUAUAGUUCACCAACAUGCUGGUGCUCUGAUGCUUAUGGGCCCCUCAAACAGAAUGACAGCAACUACAACUGCUCAGUAGUAACUGCAUACGACUCCUAAAUUGUUAGUCAUUUUAUGUUUAAAAGAAAACUUGUCCACAUCAGUAAACAUUGUAUGCGCAUGAAA